CUCGGCACUUGCCGCGAGGUCUCGGGCUGCGUGUGGCCUUGCUCUGGGGGCCCCUCCUGAACUGGCCUCCCUGCGUCCACGUCAGGCACGGUGUGUGCCACGGGGUGCAGCACGGGGAAAGCUGCGGCGCGGCCUGUUUGCAGCCAGGUCGCAGUCACAGCUGGGUCACCGUCUGCACAUCGCGGCCGUUGCCUGCCUCACUCACCAGCAGCUCACACAGCAAUAGCUCCUGACGUUGCCACUCUGCUGCUGCAUCUGCACUCCUCUGUGUCACGUCUACAUGCCACGCUGCACGUCUCAGGUUUCCCAGCUGAACACAGGACCCAACCACCACCUUGCAAACACCUCUUACCUGCAUCCGGUUGCCAUGGGAACUCAAGGAGAGCCAAGGCUGAAGCCACCUGAGACACCUGAGUCUAGGGCGGGCUUGUAGCCCUCAGAGCAGCCUGUGCAGAUCUCAGUCUCACGGCCACCGGUCAGGGAGGGUGUGCAAGAAGACCUCUCUACGCACAGACGCCACCAGGCCACCAUGGCAUGCACUAUAAAGCAUGUGAGGGUCUCACUAUGUAGUUCAGGCUGGACUUGAACUCAGUAUGGAGCCCAGGCUUGCCUCGAACUCAUGGCAAUCCUCCUGCCUCAGCCUCCCGAGUGCCAAGAUUACAGAUGUGUGCCAUCACACCCAGUGUGAUAUUUAUU
This 696-nucleotide long non-coding RNA is filed under the name Heterocephalus glaber (naked mole-rat). RNAcentral describes it as "lncRNA (ENSHGLG00000039383.1)". Lineage: Eukaryota; Metazoa; Chordata; Mammalia; Rodentia; Bathyergidae. The record is from RNAcentral.